RNAcentral lists this long non-coding RNA (4645 nucleotides) under Canis lupus familiaris (dog). RNAcentral's name for it is "lncRNA (ENSCAFG00000054705.1)". Lineage: Eukaryota; Metazoa; Chordata; Mammalia; Carnivora; Canidae. The record is from RNAcentral.
UUUUUUUUUUUUUUUUUUUUUUUUAAUUUAUGAUAGUCACACAGAGAGAGAGAGAGAGAGAGAGAGAGAGAGGCAGAGACACAGGCAGAGGGAGAAGCAGGCUCCAUGCACCGGGAGCCCGACAUGGAAUUCGAUCCCGGGUCUCCAGGAUCGCGCCCUGGGUCAAAGGCAGGCGCCAAACCGCUGCGCCACCCAGGGAUCCCUGAUUUGACAGUCUUACAGUUAGUUCUGCUUUACAUUUAUCAUGGGUGUCUACCUGUUUAGUCUCAUCCAAUUUCCACCGUUAUUUCCUCUCCCCACCCUUACCCCACAUCCAUAUCUACCUCUGAGAAACACUCUUUGAUCUAAUUUUGAUUUUCCCAGUAGCUACUGAAAUCAAACCAGAGUCACUGUGCAAUUCAGAAUGAGUGCUGAAAAGGACAAUAUAAGGGCUUCCUGGGGGAUGCUAGGGAAGGUGACAAAAACAGAACCUAAAAAGUGUUCUGUAUCCACUGAAUGCUUUAUUUCAUUUCUGCUACUGCUAUCUGCUUUGACAGUGCAGCAUAGCUUAGUUAAAAGAGAAAAAGAACACAGACUUUUAAGUCAGACAGAGGUGGGUUUGAAUUCUAGGUCAACACUCAAGCACCCUAUUAGGCUGGCACUGUUAUACUCAUGUUACAGAUGACCAUAUAGAAGCCCAGGGAGAUUAUGUGACUUGGGCUGUGUAUGUGCAUGUUAUAUUUGGCAUGCUUUCAAAAAUGUCAAUGUGCAACCAAUGUAAAAUUGAGUGGUCAUGUCUUUCUAUAGGCCCCAGUCUUAUUUUCACUUUACUGGUCAUUUGUGGCUAGAGCUCAAUACCUACAAAAGACCCAGAGGAUUACAUACCUGCUAGAACUGGACAAUGGCUGCUUCAGGGAAUCCCCAGAGUCACCAUCUUUGCAUUUGCUUUUUGAAAAUAGCUUCCAUUCAGCUCAGUUCCGAGCAGUACCAUUACUGUGUAUCUGGCAAUACGGCACAGAGUAAUUCUGGCUUGGCCUCGGCCACUCUUGACAGGACAGGAGGUAGACUUUUGCAUCAAGCAUAUUGGUCCUACCUGUACCUUAGAAUCACCUGUUAGAAAAGGUUGAUCUGUGACAACGUGCAAGUCUUCUGAUUACCAGUGGGUUGCCAGUCCCCAGAUCACGGCAGGGAAGCUGACGUGUAUUAAUCUAGAAUUGACAGAGUUCACUCUGCUGUUUUUUAAACAUGGUGAAUGUAAUAAAGCAAUAUUAAUAAUAACGAUAGCCAACUCUGAAGGUUUACUACGUGCUGAUUAUUAAGCACAACUAAGUUUUUUAUGUGCAUUAAUUUAAUCCUCUCUCAAUAACACUAUAGUUCAUUACCUCUUUGAUUUAAAAGUUAUAGCCUUUUCUUCACAAAACUCAGAGAACAGAGAUUAUUAUGUGAGGUAGAUAUCAGUUUCCUGGAGGCCAGAGUCAAUUUUUUGGCAUGUUCUUUAGCACAGAAUCCAGGCCUUUUUUGGCAAUAUCUGAGCCAGGCAGAUGGACACUUUGACUUUCCUCAACAUAGAUUUGAAAAUAUCAAAUGCCUGGCUUGGUUCCAGACUGCUUUGGGCUUUUGAGGACCACUUGAACCCAAGAAAAAUCGUGCUUGUGCUAGAACAGACACAUGAGAAACAGUCGCUAGUUUGGUUCUGACAAGGAGUACCAAGUCUCAAGUAAAGCAUUAUAUGGAAUCUGAGAUCUCCAUUCAAAAUGGAUUCACAUUCUUUUUGGUGAUAUAACAAAUAAUUUAAAUGUGGUGAAUUAUUUCCCAUUUUGAUCUGUCAUAUACUUGACUUCAGAAGAGUGCUAAAUCCAACUCACGUGUCUGUUUUUUAUUUAAAAAAAAAAGGGAUUUUGUGAGAAACAGAGCAAUGUAUGUAGUAAUUAAAUAUUAAACUCAAUGAUUAGCUGUGGGCUUUUCAUAGAUUAAAAAAACUUUAUCGUUUAGUUAUUUUUUUCUGUAAUUAUCAGGAAGCAUCUAAUACAGUUACUUAGCAUUCAGAUUUUGAUCAUUCAGAUUACAGUAAUAUCACUAAUACUACUACUUUCAACUUCAAUUUGAAAGAUUUCCCAUUUUAAAACGUUAAAGAUACUUGAAAUAUAUUAUGUUUAAGGGGUGCCUGUGUGGCUCAGUCAGCUAAGUGUCUGCCUUCAGCUCAGGUCAUGAUCUCAGGGCCCUGGGAUCCAGCCCCACAGCUGCUUCUCCCCCUGCCUACUGCUCACGCUCUCUUUCGCACCUCUCUCUCAAAUAAACAAAUAAAUAAAAUCGUCAUAUAAAUAUAUAUAUGUAUAUACACACACACACACACACACAUACACACACACACACAAUGUUUAAGAGCAGUAUCAGAGCAAUAAUACAUCCAUAUAGAAUUAUCUCAAUGACAGAGAAGGGAAUAAAGUAAAUAUAGAUGUAAAAAAAUUCUCUAGUUUUCACUAAAAUGUUAACUUUAUAGUUAUCUGAGUUCAUUUUUUGUCUUUACACUUCUUUGCAUUUUCUAAAAUGAACACAUUAUUUUUAUAAUCGUAAAAAAAGGUUAAGGGAAUCCCUUUCUACACAGCUCAGCCAAAAGUAAUAUUAAACAUGUACAAAAGAGCAACUUAUUUAUAAGUUUAAUAUAAGAUAAAGAUUAUUUUAUUUUCUCAAGGUAGUAUAUGAAGAAAAAUAAUACUGAAGCAUCCCAAACUUUAAAAAAAUACCAUUACUGUCUAUAAAUUAUACAAAUAUAUAAUUACAAAACAGUAUAAAAUUAUACUUUGCGUAAAGAAGCCACAUUAUAAAUGCAUCUGCUUCUUUGUUGCGUUUAGUCAAAAGCUAUCAGGAAAGAAUACCAGAAAACAGUUCUAAUUCUAUAAAGCCAUUGCAUUUGAGAAAAGCCCACAGAAAUCUGCACGUGAGACUUCUCAAAAAAUCUUGGAAGACUGAGCGUAAGGAACAGGCUUCAUCUUCUAGUCAGAGAAGCUAAGUCCCAGAGCCAUUUAAAAAAUAGAUGUUCAGGGACCUACAAAGUGAAUAGAAAGGCAGACUGGAAUUCAGUUCUGACUGCUCUACUGAUUAGCUAAACCAUUCGGCUCUGCUUCUGUGGACAAGUUGAAGCAACAAACUAACUUAGAAACUAAAACCAGUUGAACAGGAUAGGUUUGCAUGCAAUACACCAACAAUUCAACAUAAUAACACCCAACAGCUAGAUUGCUUUGUAUUUUUGGUACGCUUUACAACUAUUCAUUAACCCACACAACAUCAAUGGAUGGUGGGGCUAUAUUGUUAAUGCAUUUCAUACACAAUGAAUAAGUAAAAACAUACUGAAGGAUUACAAUGACUAUAAAAUCAAAUGAGAAACCUACAGCAGAAAAAGUCCAAUGCCUUCCUCUAAUCAAACUUCAAUCCACAAAUAAAAACAGGGUAAGUUUGUUGAAAUACUUUUUUCCUUAUUUUUUUCAUUAAUACUUCCCAAACUGAACAUAACAUCCUAAAAAUGAUAGAUGAGACUGAAGAGGACCCAAAAGCAACAGUCCAUUCAAUUUCCUUCAGAGAUGACAACAUGUAAACUUUCCCCAGAACAAUUUUUUUAUUUAUCUAUUCAUGAGAGACACACAGAGAGCGAGCAAGAGAGGCAGAGACACAGGCAGAGGGAGAAGCAGGCUCCCUGCAGGGAGCCCGACAUGCGGGACUCGAUCCCGGACCCCAGGAUCACGCCCUGAGCGGAAGGCAGACGCUCACGGGUCUGUUGAACAGUCACUGAACCCCUCAGGCAUCCCUCCCUAGAAUAUUUUUUAAGGAUUACACCUUUAAAAAUCAUUUCCAAAAUUAAAAGGAAUUAGAAAAUAUUAUGUUCUCCCUAUAAUUAACAAUGAUACUCAUAAUCUCUUCUUUUUGCUCACAUACAUCAAAUUAAAAGCACUAGAUUUUUUUAAACAAAUAAUAAAAAUAUAGUAAGAUGCCUGGUAAUAUGCCAGUUUCUAGGAAGCAUCUAAGACUGAAACUAAAGUCACAAAAAUGAGUUAUCUACAGAGUCUACAAUUUACUAAGUAGGAUCAUUUAAUAUUCUCUAGUCAGGUUGAAAAUAUUCCUACUCUUUAUCAUUUUCCCUAUGACCACACAGAAAUACAUUGCUUUUUCCAACCGAAUGAAUUUCCCCUCCUUUCAGAGCUGAGCUGUCUCCCUGGCAAGCAUAUCAUAUAGAACAGCUGUUAUAUUACCAGUAUAAAAGCAAUUUUAUCUCAUCUAAUUGCAAAACAUAUGGGCAGAAUGAAACCGAACUUUUGGGGGCUCUGUAUCUUUAAAGGAAGAAAUAAUCAAAGUUCUUCUAUUGGUAAAAGCUGCGAACAAUGCUAUGAAUUCUGAUUUUGCACAAUUUAAGCAAGAUAUAUUUCACUAAACUUCUUUAAUUAAUUUUAAGUGCAUGUUUUACAUCCCCAAACAGAAUGACAUGGAUAAAGAACCAGCUCCAUUUUCAGCCUCUGCUAAGAUCUCAGCUAAACCUGCCCUGGAGAUAAUAGAUAUGUCGAUCCUACUCUGUGUUUAAGAUUUAUCAGGCCUCAAAAAAAAAAAAAAAGAUUUAUCAGGCCUCAAGAAUAGUUUCCUUUCUUGAGUAUUGUCUUCAGUAAUCUAUUUUCUUCAG